Molecule: ribosomal RNA, 465 nt
Filed under: uncultured bacterium
Lineage: Bacteria
Description: partial 16S ribosomal RNA
Rfam family: Bacterial small subunit ribosomal RNA
Source: RNAcentral
CUACGGGGGGCUCCAGUGAGGAAUUUUGCGCAAUGGGGGGAACCCUGACGCAGCAACGCCGCGUGAGUGAUGAAGGCUUUCGGGUCGUAAAGCUCUGUCAAGUGGGAAGAACCUAUGCAGUGUUAAUAUCACUGUAUACUGACGGUACCACUGAAGGAAGCACCGGCUAACUCCGUGCCAGCAGCCGCGGUAAUACGGGGGGUGCAAGCGUUAUUCGGAAUCAUUGGGCGUAAAGGGCACGUAGGCGGCUUGGUAAGUCAGAUGCGAAAGCCCGGGGCUUAACCCCGGAAGUGCAUUUGAUACUGUCAGGCUUGAGUAUGGGAGAGGGAAGUGGAAUUCCUGGUGUAGAGGUGAAAUUCGUAGAUAUCAGGAGGAACACCGGUGGCGAAGGCGACUUCCUGGACCAAUACUGACGCUGAAGUGCGAAGGCGUGGGUAGCAAACAGGAUUAGAUACCCGGGUAGUC